GAUGAACGCUGGCGGCGUGCCUAAUACAUGCAAGUCGAGCGAACAGACGAGGAGCUUGCUCCUCUGACGUUAGCGGCGGACGGGUGAGUAACACGUGGAUAACCUACCUAUAAGACUGGGAUAACUUCGGGAAACCGGAGCUAAUACCGGAUAAGAUAUUGAACCGCAUGGUUCAAUAGUGAAAGACGGGUUUGCUGUCACUUAUAGAUGGAUCCGCGCCGCAUUAGCUAGUUGGUAAGGUAACGGCUUACCAAGGCAACGAUGCGUAGCCGAACUGAGAGGGUGAUCGGCCACCCUGGAACUGAGCCACGGUCCAGACGCCUACGGGAGGCAGCAGUAGGGAAUCUUCCGCAAUGGGCGAAAGCCUGACGGAGCAACGCCGCGUGAGUGAUGAAGGUCUUCGGUUCGUAAAGCUCUGUUAUUAGGGAAGAACAAAUGUGUAAGUAACUAUGCACGUCUUGACGGUACCUAAUCAGAAAGCCACGGCUAACUACGUG
RNAcentral lists this ribosomal RNA (497 nucleotides) under uncultured bacterium. RNAcentral describes it as "partial 16S ribosomal RNA". It matches the Rfam family "Bacterial small subunit ribosomal RNA", at positions 28 to 507 of the family's 1533-position model. The record is from RNAcentral.